This 253-nucleotide ribosomal RNA is filed under the name uncultured prokaryote. RNAcentral describes it as "partial 16S ribosomal RNA". It matches the Rfam family "Bacterial small subunit ribosomal RNA", at positions 525 to 777 of the family's 1533-position model. The record is from RNAcentral.
ACAGAGGGUGCGAGCGUUAAUCGGAAUUACUGGGCGUAAAGCGCACGUAGGUGGCGACGUAUGUCGGUUGUGAAAGCCCCGGGCUCAACCUGGGAAUUGCAUCCGAAACUGCGUUGCUGGAGUACGGAAGAGGAAGGCGGAAUUCCCGGUGUAGCGGUGAAAUGCGUAGAUAUCGAGAGGAACACCUGCGGCGAAGGCGGGUUGCUGGGCUGACACUGACGCUGAGGCGCGAAAGCUAGGGGAGCGAACGGGA